CGGGGUGAGUAAUGUAUGGGGAUCUGCCUGAUGGCGGGGGAUAACUACUGGAAACGGUAGCUAAUACCGCAUAAUGUCUGCGGACCAAGGCGGGGGACCUCCGGGCCUCGCGCCAUCAGAUGAACCCAUAUGGGAUUAGCUUGUAGGUAAGGUAACGGCUUACCUAGGCGACGAUCCCUAGCUGGUCUGAGAGGAUGAUCAGCCACACUGGGACUGAGACACGGCCCAG
This 229-nucleotide ribosomal RNA is filed under the name uncultured bacterium. RNAcentral's name for it is "partial 16S ribosomal RNA". It matches the Rfam family "Bacterial small subunit ribosomal RNA", at positions 104 to 334 of the family's 1533-position model. The record is from RNAcentral.